This 468-nucleotide ribosomal RNA is filed under the name uncultured bacterium. Its description in RNAcentral is "partial 16S ribosomal RNA". It matches the Rfam family "Bacterial small subunit ribosomal RNA", at positions 28 to 507 of the family's 1533-position model. The record is from RNAcentral.
GACGAACGCUGGCGGCGUGCUUAACACAUGCAAGUCGAACGGUAAAGCUCCAGCUUGCUUGAGUAGAUCAGUGGCGAACGGGUGAGUAACACGUGAGCAACCUGCCCCGGACUCUGGAAUAAGCGCGGGAAACGGCGUCUAAUACUGGAUACGAGAAGGGUCCGCAUGGGCACUUUCUAGAAAGUUUUUCGGUUGGGGAUGGGCUCGCGGCCUAUCAUCUUGUUGGUGAGGUAAUGGCUCACCAAGGCGACGACGGGUAGCCGGCCUGAGAGGGGGACCGGCCACACUGGGACUGAGACACGGCCCAGCCUCCUCCGGGAGGAAGAAGUGGGGAAUAUUGAACAAUGGGCGAAAGCCUGAUGAAGCGACGCCGCGUGAGGGAUGACGGCCUUCGGGUUGUAACCCUCUUUCAGCAGGGAAGAAGCGAAAGUGACGGUACCUGCAGAAGAAGCACCGGCUAACUACGUG